GUAACUCAAAUUUGUAUCGAGUUAGAACGUUUGCCUACGUUUGACGCUAGGGGCGCUGUUCCAACUGCAUACAAUUAAUAUG
RNAcentral lists this microRNA precursor (82 nucleotides) under Bombyx mori (domestic silkworm). RNAcentral describes it as "mir-2807 microRNA precursor family". It matches the Rfam family "mir-2807 microRNA precursor family". The record is from Rfam by way of RNAcentral. Lineage: Eukaryota; Metazoa; Arthropoda; Insecta; Lepidoptera; Bombycidae.